This 72-nucleotide transfer RNA is filed under the name Stegodyphus mimosarum. It matches the Rfam family "tRNA". From Rfam's summary of the family: Transfer RNA (tRNA) molecules are approximately 80 nucleotides in length. The record is from Rfam by way of RNAcentral. Lineage: Eukaryota; Metazoa; Arthropoda; Arachnida; Araneae; Eresidae.
GCCUUCGUGGUGUAAGGGUUAGAACACUCGGCGCAUAUUCGAGAGGUCCAGGUUCGAGUCCUAGUGAGGGCA